ACCUGGAUAGCUCAGUUCAUUAGAGCAUGGUGCUGAUGAUGCCAAGGUUGCAGGUUCGAUCCCUGUAUGGGUA
Non-coding RNA from Podarcis lilfordi (Lilford's wall lizard), 73 nucleotides. The record is from the annotation of a GenBank genome assembly. Lineage: Eukaryota; Metazoa; Chordata; Lepidosauria; Squamata; Lacertidae.